CCCUUAGAUGUCCGGGGCCGCACGCGCGCUACACUGAAGGAAUCAGCGUGGCUUUCUCCCUGACCCGAAAGGGUUGGGAAACCCGUUGAAUCUCCUUCGUGAUAGGGAUUCGGGCUUGAAAUUGUUCCCCAUGAACGAGGAAUUCCCAGUAAGCGCGAGUCAUAAGCUCGCGUUGAUUACGUCCCUGCCCUUUGUACACACCGCCCGUCGCUACUACCGAUUGAACGGUUUAGUGAGGGCCUCGGAUUGGUCUCGGCCCGCUCUUUACCGGGCGGCGCCGUUGGUCGAGAAGACGCUCGAACUUGAUCGUUUAGAGGAAGUAAAAGUCGUAACA
Molecule: ribosomal RNA, 334 nt
Filed under: uncultured eukaryote
Lineage: Eukaryota
Description: partial 18S ribosomal RNA
Rfam family: Eukaryotic small subunit ribosomal RNA
Source: RNAcentral